This 253-nucleotide ribosomal RNA is filed under the name uncultured bacterium. RNAcentral describes it as "partial 16S ribosomal RNA". It matches the Rfam family "Bacterial small subunit ribosomal RNA", at positions 524 to 776 of the family's 1533-position model. The record is from RNAcentral.
UACGGAGGGUGCGAGCGUUGUCCGGAAUCACUGGGCGUAAAGGGCGCGUAGGCGGCCUGAUAAGUAGGGGGUGAAAUCCUGCGGCUUAACCGCAGGGCUGCCUUCUAAACUGUCAGGCUAGAGCACAGUAGAGGCAGGUGGAAUUCCCGGUGUAGCGGUGGAAUGCGUAGAGAUCGGGAAGAACAUCAGUGGCGAAGGCGGCCUGCUGGGCUGUUGCUGACACUCAACUACGAAAGCGUGGGGAGCAAACAGG